Molecule: ribosomal RNA, 414 nt
Filed under: Triticum aestivum (bread wheat)
Lineage: Eukaryota; Viridiplantae; Streptophyta; Magnoliopsida; Poales; Poaceae
Description: partial small subunit ribosomal RNA
Source: RNAcentral
AUGAAAAGAGGUGGAGGUCGGCUGCGCGUGUACGGGCUGGCUAGAAAAAUCAAGGCCGGCUCCUCAUCGAAAAAAGAAAAAAGAAAGAAGGGUCCGGUUUUCGCGUGGAGUCGGACAAAAAGAGAGAAGAGAAAUAGGGCCGGCUGUCCAAAGCAACGGCCGACUGCAUGUCGCCGGCUUGUUGAAAAAGAAAGAGCAGCUCAUACGUCCGCCUACUAUAAGAGAAGAAAAGAGAAAACGUCCGUCUGUCCGUCCGCCUGCUUCGCCACUCGGACGGCUAGACGCGACCUGGCCUGCUUGCCUGCUUCAACACCUGGCCGGCAAGAGCGCCGGCACUGCUGCCUGUUCGCCUCGACGCCUGGCCGAUCGAGCCUAGGCUUGAAUCUUGGGGGCUACACCCAGCGGGUGCGCUGA